RNAcentral lists this unclassified non-coding RNA (247 nucleotides) under Ascomycota sp. Its description in RNAcentral is "partial contains small subunit ribosomal RNA, internal transcribed spacer 1, and 5.8S ribosomal RNA". The stretch from base 1 to 47 matches the Rfam family "Eukaryotic small subunit ribosomal RNA", at positions 1785 to 1831 of the family's 1831-position model. Lineage: Eukaryota; Fungi; Ascomycota. The record is from RNAcentral.
AAAGUCGUAACAAGGUCUCCGUUGGUGAACCAGCGGAGGGAUCAUUACCGAAGUUACCUUCAAAACCCACUGUGAACCUUACCUCUUGCCGCGUUGUCUCGGCGGGAGGCGGUGGGCGUCGCGCGCCCUAGCGGGCCGUGCCGCUCCCGUCCCCGCCGGCGGCGCCAAACUCUAAAUGCACAGCGGACUGUACGUUCUGAUUUACAAAAACAAGUUAAAACUUUCAACAACGGAUCUCUUGGUUCUG